Molecule: long non-coding RNA, 1228 nt
Filed under: Homo sapiens (human)
Lineage: Eukaryota; Metazoa; Chordata; Mammalia; Primates; Hominidae
Description: HSALNT0198164
Source: RNAcentral
GCUCCACUCCCUUCUGUUUUAAUCAGUGAUCUCUGAAUACAGACUACCUUAAAUCUAGAGUAUUCUACUGAUUCUUAAAAGUGAGACGUGACUGGGCACGGUGGCUCACGCCUGUAAUCCCAGCACUUUGGGAGGCCGAGGCGGAUGGAUCACAAGGUCAAGAGAUUGAGACCAUCCUGGCCAACAUGGUGAAACCCUGUCUCUACUAAAAAUAGAAAAAUUAGCUGGGCAUGGUAGUGCACGCCUGUAGUCCCAUCUUCAGGAGGCCGAAGCAGGAGAAUCUCUUGAACCUAGGAGGUGAAGUUUGCAUGGCCCAGUCUCGGCUGACUGCAACCUCUGCCUCCUGGAUUCAAGCGAUUCUUCUGCCUCAGCCUCCUGAGCAGCUGAAACUAUAGGCAUUCGCCACCAUGCCUGGCUAAUUUUUGUAUUUUUUGGUAGAGACAGGUUUUCGUCAUGUUGCCCAGGCUGGUCUCGAACUCCUGAGCUCAGGCAAUCUGCCCGUCUUGGCCUCCCAAACGACUUGACUACGUCUCACAGUGGCCCUGGAUGCUCCUGCUUCUGGCUGUCAGCGGCUUCUGUAACUUUGCCUAGAAUGUCAUUGCCUUCAGCAUCCUCAACCUCGUCAGCUCUCUGAGCUAUUCAGUUGUCAAUGCCACCAAGAGAAUCAUGGUCAUCACAGUGUCCCUGAUCAUGCUGCCCAACCCAGUCACCAGCACCAAUGUCCUGGGCAUAAUGACUGCCAUCCUCGGGGUCUUCCUCUACAAGACCAAGUAAGAUGCAAACCAGCAAGUCAGGAAGCACCUCCUCCUGGCACCACAGUGGACCUGAGCAGCAAGGAACAUCACCAGAGCCCACUGGAGAAGCCCCACCAAUGGCCUCCUCUUCCCCCAGCACGGGGACUAUCAUGGCUGCAACAAUAUCUUAACAGACCACUUCCAGUACAGCUGGCAGAGCUACCCAAACUCUUAGUUUGAACCACUAUGACUUGUAGAGUCCAGAGGACAGGACCAGACUGUUCUGCGACGGCUUCCCCUGCCCCCACAGCAGUUUCAGAAACUUCUGACAUCCAGUGAAUGUACAACCCAGCCGAGGGAAUGGUGUGUAACUCUUCAUCAGAAGCACCGGGGUUCCUGGCGCCCCAUGAGCCACAGGAGGAUGCGUUGCCUGCAGCACAGACGGCUGUGGGCUCUGGGCAAACCUAAACAGACACUGGUGUCUCAUGCUCUUU